This 566-nucleotide ribosomal RNA is filed under the name uncultured bacterium. RNAcentral's name for it is "partial 16S ribosomal RNA". It matches the Rfam family "Bacterial small subunit ribosomal RNA", at positions 355 to 914 of the family's 1533-position model. The record is from RNAcentral.
UGGGGAAUUUUGGACAAUGGGGGAAACCCUGAUCCAGCCAUCCCGCGUGUGCGAUGAAGGCCUUCGGGUUGUAAAGCACUUUUGGCAGGAAAGAAACGUCGCGGGUUAAUACCCCGCGAAACUGACGGUACCUGCAGAAUAAGCACCGGCUAACUACGUGCCAGCAGCCGCGGUAAUACGUAGGGUGCAAGCGUUAAUCGGAAUUACUGGGCGUAAAGCGUGCGCAGGCGGUUCGGAAAGAAAGAUGUGAAAUCCCAGAGCUUAACUUUGGAACUGCAUUUUUAACUACCGGGCUAGAGUGUGUCAGAGGGAGGUGGAAUUCCGCGUGUAGCAGUGAAAUGCGUAGAUAUGCGGAGGAACACCGAUGGCGAAGGCAGCCUCCUGGGAUAACACUGACGCUCAUGCACGAAAGCGUGGGGAGCAAACAGGAUUAGAUACCCUGGUAGUCCACGCCCUAAACGAUGUCAACUAGCUGUUGGGGCCUUCGGGCCUUGGUAGCGCAGCUAACGCGUGGAGUUGACCGCCUGGGGAGUACGGUCGCAAGAUUAAAACUCAAAGGAAUUGAC